RNAcentral lists this ribosomal RNA (396 nucleotides) under uncultured bacterium. RNAcentral's name for it is "partial 16S ribosomal RNA". It matches the Rfam family "Bacterial small subunit ribosomal RNA", at positions 338 to 731 of the family's 1533-position model. The record is from RNAcentral.
CCUACGGGAGGCAGCAGUGAGGAAUAUUGGUCAAUGGGCGGGAGCCUGAACCAGCCAAGCCGCGUGAGGGAAGAAGGUACAGCGUAUCGUAAACCUCUUUUGUCAGGGAAUAAAGGCGGGCACGAGUCCCUUGAUGAGGGUACCUGAUGAAAAAGCAUCGGCUAACUCCGUGCCAGCAGCCGCGGUAAUACGGAGGAUGCGAGCGUUAUCCGGAUUUAUUGGGUUUAACGGGAGCGCAGGUGGGCCGUUAAGUCAGGUGGGAAAGCCCGGGGGUCAACCUCAGGAGAGCAGUUGAUACUGGCGGGCUGGAGUACAGGAGAGGUACGCGGAACGCGCGGUGUAGCGGUGAAAUGCUUAGAUAUCACGCAGAACCCCGAUGGCGAAGGCAGCGUACUG